RNAcentral lists this ribosomal RNA (373 nucleotides) under uncultured organism. RNAcentral's name for it is "partial 16S ribosomal RNA". It matches the Rfam family "Bacterial small subunit ribosomal RNA", at positions 527 to 896 of the family's 1533-position model. The record is from RNAcentral.
GGAGGGCGCAAGCGUUGUUCGGAAUUACUGGGCGUAAAGGGCGGGCAGGCGGUCUGUUAAGUCUUUUGUGAAAAUCCGGGGCUCAACCCCGUGAAACGCAGAAGAUACUGGCAGACUUGAGACCAGUAGAGGCUAGCGGAAUUCCUGGUGUAGCGGUGGAAUGCGUAGAUAUCAGGAAGAACACCUGUGGCGAAGGCGGCUAGCUGGGCUGGAUCUGACGCUCAUCCGCGAAAGCGUGGGGAGCAAACAGGAUUAGAUACCCUGGUAGUCCACGCCGUAAACGAUGGGUACUAGAUGCCCGGGUCUAUAGACAGGGUCGGUGUCGCAGCUAACGCAUUAAGUACCCCCGCCUGGGGAUACGGCCGCAAGGCUG